UACGAGAGGUCCAAACGUUAUUCGGAAUUACUGGGCUUACAGAGUUCGUAGGCGGCUCUACAAGUGAGGUGUGAAAUCCCUCAGCUUAACUGGGGAACUGCGUCUGAUACUGGAUGGCUUGGAUUCGGGAGAGGAGUGCGGAAUUCCAGGUGUAGCGGUGAAAUGCGUAGAUAUCUGGAGGAACACCGGUGGCGAAGGCGGCAUUCUGGACCGAUAUUGACGCUGAGGAGCGAAAGCCAGGGGAGCAAACGGG
Molecule: ribosomal RNA, 253 nt
Filed under: uncultured bacterium
Lineage: Bacteria
Description: partial 16S ribosomal RNA
Rfam family: Bacterial small subunit ribosomal RNA
Source: RNAcentral